Molecule: long non-coding RNA, 2660 nt
Filed under: Olea europaea (common olive)
Lineage: Eukaryota; Viridiplantae; Streptophyta; Magnoliopsida; Lamiales; Oleaceae
Description: long non-coding RNA (OEUR_LNC003418)
Source: RNAcentral
UGCCAGGGAUCCAAACUGGCUCGAUCAAUUUUCAGUGCAAUUAAAGUUCUAGCCUAAUCCUAACUAGUCCGAUCAAACAAUACCACGAUUUUUUACUGGCUGCCAAAAUAUUUACUUCAUAUGAGUUGAGGAAUGGAGCUUGAGUAAUUCGACGACUCUUCUCAUGGAGGGCCUGUCUGCAGGUAAUUCUGAAGUGCACGAUAAAGCCACAUUCAGUAUCCUCUUUACCUGCUGAUAUUCAAUUGCAGAUGGAAUCAGCCGAAUAUCUAAUAUCUGAUCCAAACAGACAAUAUCGAAGCUGCCAUCAACACUUUCGUUUCCUUGUUCUGGAUAUAAAAAUGCAGUCUCUGUUACCCACUGCACAAUGUCCUUGUUCUCACCAAACGAGGAAUGAUUAGGACUUUUACCGGAUAACAAUUCCAGUAACACAACCCCGAAGCUAUACACAUCACUCUUCUCGGUAACCUUCAUUGUGUGAGCAUAUUCUGCAAUUUGUUAUGUCAAACGUAAAUAUCUUGUGCAUUGUCAAUGUCAUAAUAGGAAUUCUAGAGCCUUCUACUUUUUUACAACAUAAAGUAAAUUUAAAAAGCAAUUCAGUUAAGAAAAUGGCUAUAAGAUAAAGAACCGAGAGCCUUGCCUGGAGCAAUGUAGCCGUAAGAGCCAACCACGCGAGACAUGACUUGCCCACCCUCAUCCUCGUCCUGAUGCAUUGUCUUUGCCAAACCAAAGUCAGCCAAUUUCGGCCUGAAUUCCUCGUCUAGCAAUAUGUUGUUGGGUUUAAUGUCCCUAUGCACAAUGGGAGGAACACAAUCAUGGUGCAAAUACGCGAGCCCUUGAGCAGCCCCAAGUGCAAUGGCAAAGCGCCUAGGCCAGUCCAACAAUACUCCACCCUUCUCCCCAUGGAAUACAUCUCCCAAACUCCCAUUCUCCAUGUAAUCAUAUACCAAUAUCUUGAAAUCCUCGUUGAUGCAACUAAACAACAAUUUAAUAAUGUUAGCAUGUCGAAUUUGACUCAAUGUCUCCACCUCCGACUGGAACACCCUCUCGGAUUCUGGUAGCCGCCCCACCUCCCAAAACCUCUUGGCUGCCACGGUCAGUCCACUCUUCAACCUGACUCGAUAAACCCGACCUGAUCUCCCAGUCCCAAUAAUGUUCUCACUGGUUAAAGAGGCCAACACUUCUUCUUCAUUGAACCCAACCUUCUGGAAAGAGAUGACUUUGCAAGACUGCUUAUUUUUACUUCCAAAUGCAACAAACUUCUUGGUCCUGAUUAGGAGCCAAAGAAGUGACCCAAUAAGUAUCAAUGCAAGUAUUGAUAAUAUCCCUACCAACAUCAAGCCAACGGGUUUGGAUCUUGAGCAAGGAGGAAGUGGUUUCAGAUCCGGGCUACAUAAAUCCGGGUUGCCCAUUAGACUUGAGAGAUAAAACUUUGCAUUGAAACCAAUUGGCACUUUCCCUUCAAGCCUAUUAUUGGAGACAUUAAACUUGCUAAGCUUCAGCUUAGUCAACGCCUUUGGAAUUGCUCCAGAAAGAGAAUUCCAGGAAAGAUCCAAGUUUGUUAACACGGGCAAACUCCCCAACUCUUCUGGAAUUACACCGGACAAUUGAUUGUGAGAAAAAUCCAACUCUGUGAGCUCCCUCCAAAGACUAAUAGUUUUCGGGAUUUCACCGGUGAACGUAUUCUCCUUUAUGUCAAACCUUUGUAACUUUGUCAAAUUGAUGAUACACAUGCAUUUUUAGCUAGUAGUUUUAUAUAUUUGUUAACCAAAGUACAAAAUUAAUGGUAAUUAUAACUCGUUCUAUACAUUUUUCAUUAUGAGUGGUAGAUGUCAUAACUUGGCUGACUUUUGCACAUAUACGCACCAUAUUUGAAUCGCUUCCUCUAAAUGCUUAAACUCGAAAGAAUGAAUAAAUUUAAUUAAAUUUUAUUUUCAACAGAAACUGCAUGACAUAUUUUAAGAAUUAGAGACAGACAUAAAAUCUUUAAUUUAUAAUACAUACUUUAUAGAACCCACAAUUACUACGCACUGAUUCAUCACUUAUUUGAUCAAAUUAUAAUUUUAGUAACUUAUAAUUUUAUCCAUACACUAAAUAAUAUUUCUAGUCAAGAAAAAGUUCUAAUUGAAAAAAUAUAAUCACAACAUGCGAAGUAGUCACAGAAUUUCAUCUCACUUCACAACAAUUCAACCUACUUAAUAGAAACCUCCAAAUAAAUAAGUGGAUCAAUUUUCCUCACGCAGCUCAAAACUUCAGUUCAAGUAUUCUCUGCUAAAUCGACAUUGCAAACAUGAAAAACAUUAACAGAUCAAACCUCACUAAGUUUUUCAGCUGCCAGGGAUCCAAACUGGCUCGAUCAAUUUUCAGUGCAAUUAAAGUUCUAGCCUAAUCCUAACUAGUCCGAUCAAACAAUACCACGAUUUUUUACUGGCUGCCAAAAUAUUUACUUCAUAUGAGUUGAGGAAUGGAGCUUGAGUAAUUCGACGACUCUUCUCAUGGAGGGCCUGUCUGCAGGUAAUUCUGAAGUGCACGAUAAAGCCACAUUCAGUAUCCUCUUUACCUGCUGAUAUUCAAUUGCAGAUGGAAUCAGCCGAAUAUCUAAUAUCUGAUCCAAACAGACAAUAUCGAAGCUGCCAUCAACACUUUCGUUUCCUUGUUCUGGA